This 496-nucleotide ribosomal RNA is filed under the name uncultured bacterium. Its description in RNAcentral is "bacterial SSU rRNA". It matches the Rfam family "Bacterial small subunit ribosomal RNA", at positions 381 to 896 of the family's 1533-position model. The record is from RNAcentral.
GCCUGACGCAGCAACGCCGCGUGCGGGAGGACGGCCUUCGGGUUGUAAACCGCUUUCAGGGUGAAGAGGUAGGACGGUAGCCUGGAAUAAGUCUCGGCUAACUACGUGCCAGCAGCCGCGGUAACACGUAGGAGGCGAGCGUUAUCCGGAUUUACUGGGUGUAAAGCGCAAGCAGGCGGUCGGAGAAGUCACGUGUGAAAGCGCCCGGCUCAACUGGGCGAGGACGGGUGAAACUCUCGGACUGGAGGUAGGUAGAGGCGCGUGGAAUUCCGGGUGUAGUAGUGAAAUGCGUAGAGAUCCGGAGGAACACCAGUGGCGAAGGCGACGCGCUGGACCUGACCUGACGCUCAGAUGCGAAAGCACGGGGAGCGAACGGGAUUAGAAACCCCGGUAGUCCGUGCCGUAAACGAUGCAGACCAGGUGUGGCGGGCGCAAGCCUGCUGUGCCGAAGCUAACGUGCUCAGUCUGCCACCUGGGGAGUACGGUCGCAAGAUUA